Molecule: long non-coding RNA, 1456 nt
Organism: Salvia miltiorrhiza (redroot sage)
Lineage: Eukaryota; Viridiplantae; Streptophyta; Magnoliopsida; Lamiales; Lamiaceae
Exons: 4
Source: RefSeq, a predicted model, not a curated record
AUAAACACCCCUCUACAAACGCUUCUGCUUAUGCAAAUUCAAAUAUGGAGAAUAAGCUUUCAUCUCUUUCUAAUUUAGUUUUUUUAAAAAAAAAAAACUCUCUCUCUCUCUAACACAUACACGCACACACAAUUAGAGAAACAUUUACGAACUGUACCAAGAUUUUUUCAUCUCCCAUCUGCCAACAUACUUUAUCAACGACAUGUCGUGAACCGCCGGAUGCUAGCACCUGUCGGUUUCCAUAGUCAUCUCAGCAUGUACAGUUCUUCCAAAACCCCCCAAACGAGCAGUUCUAUCAGUCAGUCACAAAGCGUGAAGCUGAGGAGCGACUGAGGGAUGAAAAAAAUUCAAGAAAUUUUCAAUCAUGAAGGAAAAGCUGUAGAUGAAUUAUUAAACAUUGCCAAGGUAAAGUAUCUAGUUUAAAACAAAUCAAUUAUGGGAAGAGCAGUCUAUAAAUCUUAAAUUAUGCAUAGUGAUGUAAAAAUAAGGUCACAAUUUGUACUUGUUGACCCUAACUGCUCAGCAAAAGGAUAAUACAUGGCUUUUUGGGUGAGAGUCGUGAGACGAAACAAAAGUACUUGAUCUCAUGAAUGUAUCGUUUCUAUUGUUUCUGAUUUUCUCAUCAUUUAAAUUGUUAUCAAGCAGGAGAUUUGAUUGUGCUGAUAACUACUUACGUCAGUUUGUGUAACUUCCUCUCUUCUUAGAUUAUCUGUCGUAUUAAUCUUCUGAACUCUGAAGUAGACUCAAGUGUUAUCCAUCAGUUUCCAUGAUGGUGGAAAGUGCUAAUUUCUUAGGGAUAGGAGAUGCAUGUAAGUAUGUUUUGACAAAUUGCAUGCAGACAUCUGGAAACACCUACUCUGUGCCUUGUUGGGGCUCCAAACGUUGGAAAAUCAUCUUUUGUUCGUCUACUAUCUACAGGAAAGCCAGAGGAUAGAGGAUUCGUUGCCAUAAUAUAUUUUCAAAUUCAAAUGAUGUGUCUCGACUUGAACAAGUCAAUAGUAUCCAGUUGGAGCCUGGAGGUGAAUGAUCACAACUCACCCACCGUAAAAACUGGUAGCUUAGAAAAUGACAAUUUUGGAACUUCUGGUGGGAGCACUUUAGCACUGGUAAAAUCUGCUAAACUUCUUCUACUGGUGUUUUUCCUUCUAAUACUAUGAUACAAGCUGUUCUCUAUUUGUACUAUUUUGGAAUUCGAAGUUCUAUAUAUUGUUUGCAUGCCCAUUAUUCAUUUUUCACUUUUAUUUUUGUUUUGCGACAGGGAGGUAUAUAUCUUGUUUGAAGCGCUUCAGUUGAUGCUAAAAGGCGAUCAUCUAAAGAUGCACAAAUUCAAGAUUGAUCAAAAGUUGUUUAUUCUGUUAAGGAAGAUCAGAUGAGCUUUUUAUAGUUGUCAUAUAGAUGUUAUGUACUUUGAUAUAUAUUUUUUAAUGUUAUUAAUGAAGCAUUUAUAUUUUUUUCA